RNAcentral lists this transfer RNA (66 nucleotides) under Entiminae sp. ACP-2013. RNAcentral's name for it is "tRNA-Ala". The record is from RNAcentral. Lineage: Eukaryota; Metazoa; Arthropoda; Insecta; Coleoptera; Curculionidae.
GGAUAAUAGUUAAUAAUAAUAUUUAAGUUGCAUUUAAAAGAAAUUGAUUAAACUCAAUUUAUCUUU